Cavia aperea (Brazilian guinea pig) is the source of this 92-nucleotide small nuclear RNA. Lineage: Eukaryota; Metazoa; Chordata; Mammalia; Rodentia; Caviidae. The record is from Ensembl.
GCACCGCAAAUACUAAAAUUGGAAUGCUAUACAGAGUAUUGUGGUCCUUGUGCAAGGGUAACAUGCAAAUUCGAGAAGCGUUCCAUGUUUUU